GCCCGGAUGGCGAAACUGGUAGACGCAGGGGACUUAAAAUCCCCCGGCUUAGGCCUUGCCGGUUCGAGUCCGGCUCCGGGCACCA
RNAcentral lists this transfer RNA (85 nucleotides) under Acidihalobacter yilgarnensis. RNAcentral's name for it is "Acidihalobacter yilgarnenesis tRNA-Leu". It matches the Rfam family "tRNA". Rfam says of the family: Transfer RNA (tRNA) molecules are approximately 80 nucleotides in length. Their secondary structure includes four short double-helical elements and three loops (D, anti-codon, and T loops). Lineage: Bacteria; Pseudomonadati; Pseudomonadota; Gammaproteobacteria; Chromatiales; Ectothiorhodospiraceae. The record is from RNAcentral.